CGCAUGUCCGUGACGUCAUCACCGGGCGCCCGCUCUCUCCGCCAUGGCCGCCGCAGCAGCAGGCUCCUGUUCCGAGGAUCCAGAGGAAUUCAGGAAGCCACCGGGAAGAAGGAAGUGGAUUCAAGGCACCUAGCACCGUAAUGAGCCCGGUUUUGGUUAAUUAAGGCUACCAAGGCCUCAGCGCCUCGUCUGCCAGGGCUGAAAUUCCAUGGGAAUGCCGUGACCGAGACAUGGAGCUCCGUCCUGGCAGGAGUUACCUGCUGACACCGCUGCCCAGGCUCCCUCCGUGGUGGUGCAGAGGGAUCAGGAGGCCCCCAGAAGGAGGAGGCGGGCGCCAGGCUGUUGCACUGUAAUUAACGCAGCUCUGUU
Long non-coding RNA from Melozone crissalis (California towhee), 369 nucleotides. RefSeq lists it as uncharacterized. The record is from RefSeq and is a predicted model, not a curated record. The transcript has 3 exons. NCBI's taxonomy places the organism in Eukaryota, Metazoa, Chordata, Aves, Passeriformes, Passerellidae.